AGCAUGGCAUUGUAUGGGUCCUCCCUAACGACCCAGCUCGUCAGUGGGCGGCACUAUUCUAUAAAUUAAUCACAUGCUAAUAGGAUUUCAGAGAGGAUAAUAAACUAAUCAAUCCGGUGAGAAUAAGCUAGGUUGAACAACGAGCUAUAGGAAUGUUUCACCCAAAACGAGCUCUGUCUCUAACACAUUCAAACGACGCACUUUGUAACCACCCGUCCUGUUAAAUCAGAAGCUGGACACAAGUGGCGUCAACAAGAACGCAACACAAGUAAGACUUGAUCAAACACGAGCGCAGCAUAAGUGAGAAUCGGUCAAACAAGAACGCAACACAAGUGAGACAUGGUAAAACAACAGCGCAACACAAGUGAGAAUCGGUCAAACUCGGGCGCAACACAGUGAGACCUGGUUAAACACGAGUGCAUCAUGAGUCUUAGACAAUCACCAGCGCAACACAAGUGAGAAUCGGUCAAACACGGGCGCAACACGGUGAGACCUGGUUAAACACGAGCGCAACACAAGUGAGACAUGGUAAAACACCAGCGCAACAAAAGUGAUAAUCGUUUAAACACGGGCGCAACACAAGUUAGAAUCGGUGUGAAACACAAGCUCAAGAAAGUAAUAAGCAGUUGCGUUCUUUGGUUCUUAUUUGUGCUAACGAGGAGCAGCGAUUAUCAAAAUAUCAUUAUCAAAGAUAAAAAAAAAUACUCAUAUGCUAUAUAGGCAAGAUCAUAAAAAUAGAUAACGAUUUCACGAUUAAGCAUUUUAGCAGAUGUGCUUGAGGAUGCACUUUAGACAUGGGAUAUCUACUCGUUUUUUUUUUUUUUUUUAAUUGACACCUGAUCACCGGGUGUUGUUAUGAGCGAAAAUGCUAGGUAUUUUAUCUGCGUAUAGAUAUCCUAAAUUGACCUAAAGGCUAUUAAUUUUAUCGAUCGAGACUGCCUUCAAGAAUAGAAAUUUGACUCUGUUGGAGCCAAAAAGUCGAAGUAACUGAAUAUGUCUUUUCUCCCCGACUGCUAUUAGGCCAGGAAAAAAAAAUCCGUCCUGCCAUUUAUUCUAAUGGCACUCCGAACUGGUUAAGGGCAGAGAAUCAACGAUAUAUCUACACAGACUCCAUCGAAAUAAUAAUGACUUACAAUUAAAAGUAUUAUGUUAUGUAUUUGAUGAAUUACCAAAUGAUCAGUUAAAUGAUUUGAUUGUAAGUGACAAUAUUAUAAAAACAAGUGAUUCCCCCCAAAA
This is a long non-coding RNA of Nematostella vectensis (starlet sea anemone), 1236 nucleotides long. RefSeq lists it as uncharacterized. The transcript has 2 exons. NCBI's taxonomy places the organism in Eukaryota, Metazoa, Cnidaria, Anthozoa, Actiniaria, Edwardsiidae. The record is from RefSeq and is a predicted model, not a curated record.